This 440-nucleotide ribosomal RNA is filed under the name uncultured bacterium. RNAcentral's name for it is "partial 16S ribosomal RNA". It matches the Rfam family "Bacterial small subunit ribosomal RNA", at positions 338 to 795 of the family's 1533-position model. The record is from RNAcentral.
CCUACGGGAGGCAGCAGUGGGGAAUAUUGCACAAUGGGGGAAACCCUGAUGCAGCGACGCCGCGUGAGUGAAGAAGUAUCUCGGUAUGUUAAACUCUAUCAGCAGGGAAAAAAAUGACGGUACCUGAGUAAGAAGCUACGGCUAACUACGUGCCAGCAGCCGCGGUAAUACGUAGGGGGCAAGCGUUAUCCGGAUUUACUGGGUGUAAAGGGAGCGUAGACGGCAGCACAAGUCUGUAGUGAAAUGCCGGGGCUUAACCCCGGAACUGCUUUGGAAACUGUGCAGCUAGAGUGCAGGAGAGGUAAGCGGAAUUCCUAGUGUAGCGGUGAAAUGCGUAGAUAUUAGGAGGAACACCAGUGGCGAAGGCGGCUUACUGGACUGUAACUGACGUUGAGGCUCGAAAGCGUGGGGAGCAAACAGGAUUAGAUACCCUUGUAGUC